Amphiprion ocellaris (clown anemonefish) is the source of this 8310-nucleotide long non-coding RNA. RefSeq lists it as uncharacterized. The transcript is spliced from 5 exons. NCBI's taxonomy places the organism in Eukaryota, Metazoa, Chordata, Actinopteri, Pomacentridae. The record is from RefSeq and is a predicted model, not a curated record.
UCUUGAACACCUGAUAAAAACUACACGUCAUCACACGUCACAUGACGCUCUGAGGAAGACUGCAGACGCGGUUGAUACAUGUAAGCAAGAGUGAUGGCAGCUUGCAGACACAGAGGACCAGUGACGGAGAAGAAGCUGAGGAUUUUCUAUGUUUCUGCACAAACGCAGUUAGCAGAGAUCUGUACUGAUGGGAAGAAGCUGAGGUAAAAGAUAAUGACACCUCAAGAAGUCCUUCUGAGGAUUUUGGAAGAUUUGGGAGAAGAGGAGUUUGAAAAAUUCAAAUGGUUCUUGAACCAGGAAGAAGUCUUACAAGACUUCAAAUCAAUCCCAAAGUCUCGACUGGAGAAGGCUAAUAGGAUCAACACUGUGGAUCAAAUGUUCAACAAAUACUGUAGAAACACCAUUAAAGUCAAUGAGAAGGUUUUAAUGAAGAUGAAUAAAAUUGAUCUGGUGAGGAACAUAUCAAGAACCAUCAAAGAACCUACAGGCCUCUGCAGGAAGACAAAACUUAACGUAGCUGCUUCUGCGGACUUCCAGAGUACAAGUCUGUUUUUGUUAAUCCACAUGGACAGAUGUAUCUCACCUUGACCAACAUUCCAGGGUUUCUAAAUGCACAAGAGAAUCUCAGUGGAUUAAAUCCCUUAUAACUAAGUACAAUACAUGAGCUUGCUUUUGGGGCAGAACUGAUAUACAACAGACACUCGCCUACUUUUACUAUCCAAUAAGAAAGAAAAUCUCAGUUUUUAUUGUGGCAUCUUACUUUAUCAAGCUUUUGCUUUUGAAUGUUGUUAGUCUGCAUAACAGUGCUGCAUUUUAUUGGUAAGGGAGGUGGAACAAUGCUUUUAAGGCCUAAUUUCUGUAAAUAUUAUAGUGGGUUUACAUACACUACAGGCCAAAAGUUUGGAAGCAGAUCAAAACUGUACAAAAAAAUCAUAGUUUCAUUGGUAUGCUUUGCAACAAGAUAAAUGUGAUUGUUAUAUAAAGAGUCACUCAUCAGAAUAGAUUUUUACUAUAAUCAGGUAUUUGUAUCUGUACUCUUGUUUCUUUCUAGACAUUUCUGUGGUAGUUCUAGAGAUAUGGACGUAUUUGCAUUUUUUUGGGAUUUCUCUUUGCAAACUCUCAAAACCCAAUGAGCCAAAGUGAAUAAUGCAAACUGAUUUUUUUUUUUUUUUUAACUUUUGCACUGAAGUUGUGACUCUUGCAAAUCUUCUCAACUCUAAAACUAAUUGCUUCUUUUCUUUUGUUAACAUUUAUUUAGAAAUUGCCUGGUAAGUUCAAUGUAUAACUAAAGGUAAACUGAGGAAAGUCUGAUCAUGCAGUAAAUACAUCCCAAAAUCCAUAGAAUUUGCAGUUUUUAAAAAAAAUUAUUUUUACCUUUUUAAGAAAGAUAUUGUGAACAGAAACUUGAGGCUGCUUCCAAACUUCUGGCCUGUAGUGUACCCGUACCUUUGUUUUGUAAAUUACAAAAUUGGGCAACUAUAGCCAAGGGUUUUGCUAAACUUUGAGCCAACCCUGAUGUCUGCACAGGCUGGGGGGAAAAAAAAUCACUUUUGCCACAGCUUACCACUUAUAAAAAAUAACAUUUACCACUGUUCGAACACAAAGACAGAAAACUGUUUCCAUAACACACGAUGGGUAUAUUAUUUACAGAAUAAAAGAUAAAAAAUACAUCAUUUCCAUGACUGACAUCAAAAUAAAGAUUUUUGGACUUGAGGCAAAUGAUUAAAUAACUCAGUUGGAUGCAGUUACCUCACAUGGCCUCCCUCUUGUCUCUGGGUAUAUUUUGGCCAGGUGCUGCUGUCUGCAUCAAUCCCGUCAUAGAAGCAGGCUGAGUUAUAGUUCUGCAGGCAAGAUAAGCACUGGAGCUCUGCAAAUCAUAACUCACUUUCCAAAAAAUAUAAAACAAAACACGUGAUGUAAGCAGUAUACUAUAAUAUAUAAAUACAGUCCCAUAUGGUAUGUAACAGGAGAUGCAAUACUUCAUUGUACUGUAACUGUGCUGUUAACAAACACAUGCAAUUCCCACAUAAACAUAUGAAAUAAUUGCAUGCACAAAUAUACACUCCACUCAUUUUCUGUACUCUUUGACUAUAUAUUUUGUAUCUAUUGGUGUAAGGGGGACUUAAGACAGUGAAUAUUUGUCAGUCCAUAUUUUUUGAACACUGUUUAUAAGACGGAGGAGUUUUGUGUCGGCCUCUUGAAACUGAGUUUUUCCUACAGUGAUAAAUUUGACUGCAGCCUCGUUGAGUUCCGCUAUCUCAUUCCCUACACCUCCUAAUGCAACCCAGUCUUUAAUUUGGAAAAAAUUCUCAUCAUGAAACAGAGCGCUGUGUUGUCUUAAGAUAAGAUUCUCUCGGUACAACUUUUUCCCCUCCUUCACAACAAAUUAUGCGCAAAACCAUAAACCAAAGCUGCUGGUUGUACUUCAAACAUGGACAAAUGUCAAAUAUUAGUUUAAAUGUUGUAUUGUCUUUCUGUUUUUGCUAUGUUUUGGUGGCACCUCAUGUCUCCCUAUUUCUGCAGGACAUGGAGGCCCUGGUUAUCGCUCUUUGCAUGACAGGAAAGUUUGCUGUUGCGAUUGCCUUUGGUCUCUUCUUCCUGUAUGCCUGUGAGCGUUACCCAGUCAUCAUCAGGGUAUUUUGGUCCUAAACCCCAGAGGAAGAAACACUUCGACAGCUGGAAAUGCCCAUUUGUUAAAACUACAAUUAUAAGCUUCAGUAUAUAAUUUGCAGAACCCAAAGAACAGUUUCUAUAAAUUACAUAUUGUUACUCCGCCAAGGAACGUGGCGGAGUUAGGUGAUGAUUGGCGUACGUUUGUCUGUCCAUCUGUUAUUCCAUCUGUGUGCAACAUUACCCAAAAACAGACCAACGGAUUUGGAUGAAAUUUUCAGGGAAGGUCAGAAAUGACACAAGGACCACCUCACUAGAUUUUGGCAAUGAUGCGGCUUAUAGUCUGGAUACAUGGCUUUGUGAAAGAUUUCUGUAUCAUUGCGAGAUAGCGACACAGCAUCACUGUAACUAUGACAACAAGUGAACACUAUGUCAGCUGCCUGCUGACGAUCACAUGAUUGUGAUCCUACUACAAAUCCACCACUGUGGACUUAUCGGGACUUAUCUGUCGGAAAUGAUACAAGGAACAACUGAUUAAAUUGUUGGGGUGUUUCUGAGUCCCAUUAAUUCCCACCGCCUGCUACAUAUUUAGAUCACGUGAUUCGGCAUCCGUACAUAACGUAAACAUAACACAGGCCUGUACUCAGCGCAAGGUAAUUUUGUUUGUGGGUUCACCUAUACGACAUGGACACAAUCUAUGUUGCCGUGAUUUCUGAUCAUCAGUAACUAAUAAACAAAUGCUGCAUUUGUGACAAUGCCAUAUGGGGGAAUGAACAGCCUUGAGUGCUUUUCUUGUUAUACAAAUUAACCAUGAAAUAAACCAGUAAGAAAUAAAGUAAUACAUUUAUUGCAGCCAGUGCAGAGAUCAGCAAUUAUGGCCACUCUUAACUGACUAAAUAGAUGCAUUUGUGCAGAAAUUAUGAAUUCAGCUCACCGUUUUUCAUUUUAACUGACUCUAACAGGGAGAGCAAUGAUUUUGUCCAGAGGAAAAACUGAAAUAUUUCAUAGGUUCUCCAAUAGUUAUUUCAUGGUGUGUAUUACAAUUAAAAUGUUAUCUGGCUUGUCUGAGAGUUUACAGCGACUCUGUUAAUUCUUGUUAAAAAGGAACUAUUUUUUUCGGCCAUUAAUUAGCUGAAUCGCUGACCUGGAUUGUUCUUCGUCCAAGUCUCUGGCAGUAGGAAGCGGCAGCAUGAUGUGUCGUGUUGGCAGCAUGGUCGCUCCCUUCUAUGUUUACCUGGCUGAUGUCUGGAUCUACCUCCCUCUGGUGGACACACUCGUGUUUUCUGUCACCUUUGCACCAUUUUCCCAUUUAUCAUAAUUUAUCGACAAGAGUAUCCUGGCAACAGAACUAAUUGUAACAAAUAAAUUUUUUCCUCUACUCAUCACAACCCCCCUGUGCAGCUCAAUGUUGGAAUCCUGGCAUUUAUUAUCGGAGCGCUGACAAUGCUGCUGCCUGAGACUCUGGGCAAACCUCUAACAACCACCUUGGAAGAGAUUGAAUCUCUGGGACGGGAGCCCAGCAAGAAGUAGUCUGCUGUGGGCACUAAAGAGUACGAGGAGGGGCUGGAGCUGAACCAACAUGAAACCAAAGCCUGAGCUGUACAGGAAAACUAGAGACAGAAACAUGGAGAGAAACUUUGGGGGGAAAAAAACAACUGAUAAACCUGAAAGAAAAACAUCAUUGAUUUUUUGAAUUGUUGGGCGAAAAAAAGAAAAAAAGCUUUUAUCACAACCCUUGAAAUGACUUACAUUUUUUUUUUUUAUUGUUGACAUUUUGUUCUGCAAAGUGACCAACAGUUCUGAAUGUCAAAGGUCCAGAGAUCUUGCAUAAACUCUUCCGCAUUAGUCACAGUGAAGUCACGGCAAAUCAUGAGUUCAACAGUUGAGCAUGUUGUGUGUGGAAUUUGUGUAUGUGUGUAUAACUUGUGUGUCCAAGACCAAGGAAAAAAUGAAGGAUAAGUUCAUAUUUUGUCAUGUUUUUGUAAGUUUGACCUUCAUUUCUUGUUGGUAUACUAGCAUUGCAUUCACCAAACAAGAAAAGCACUGAGAGAGCGCAGUACUCUGCCAAGGCUGCUCAGUUGCUGUAUCUUUUCGGAUGAAAUCUUUAAUAGAAAAAAAACCUUGUGUUGAGCACAGGCGUGCAUAAUGCAUGUGUAUGUUAUGUACGGAUACCGAAUCGCGGGACCUAAACAUGUAGCGGAAUUGAUGGGACUCAGAAACACACCCACAAUUUAAUCAAGUGUUCCUUGUGUGAUUUCGAAUACAGGUAUGUCCCGACAGGUCCACAGCGGUCGAUUUGCAGCAGGAUUGCAGUCAUGUGAUCGUCAGAAGGCAGCUGAUGUAGUGUUCACUUCAAAGAAGUGUCUUUUUAAAAAUUUAGUCACCUUUUUGUGUGUGUGUGUGUGUGUGUGUGUGUGUGUGUGUGUGUGUGUGUGUGUGUGUGUGUGUGUGUGUGUGUGUGUGUGUGUGUGUGUGUGUGUGUAUUAAUGAAUAAACUUUGUAAGUCAGUGUUUUAGUUUUUCACAUCCUUAUAUUGUGCAUACAAUCUCGAUGCAGGACGUACUGAAGAGAAUCAGGUGAUGCUGUAUUAUUGUGUUUUAGAGUCCAGAUGUGAUAUCCAGAUGUUUGGACGAAAUGCAGAAAUGAACUACAAUAGUGGGGAAAUGCAAAUACCUGCUUCGCAUUACGGUAGUGUAGUAGUAGCAGGUUUUUGUUUCAUAUCAAACUGUAGUGUGGUGCUUUAUUCUGAAGGAGAAAAAAAAUCAUGAAAAGCAGCUGGUGAUGUAAACCUGAUGACAUUAGAUCAGCAGGUGAUGGAAGCUCAGUAGGUUCUACAAUCAACAGUAUGGAUUUUUUUUUCUAUGUCUAGUUUCUUUGUUUAUAUUUUUUUUUACUUUGCCAAGGAAGGCGGUGGAGUUAUGUGAUGAUCGACGUACGUUUGUCCAUCUGUGUGUCUGUCUGUUAGCAACAUCACUCAGAAAUGGGCUAAGGAAUGAACACUACAUCAGCUGCCUGCUAACGAUCACAUGAUUGCGACCCUACUAUGGUCCGUGUAUAUAUUGGCAAUUGGAUUUUCCGUUCUGAAACGGGUAUUGAAAAAGAAAAAACGAGUGGUUAUUUGAUUUUUGUUUUAAAAUACAAAAAUUCAAAUUGAAAUACAAGGCGUUUUUCCUUUUCAUGAUCAAAAAGAGAUAUAAAAUAUUUUAAAAAUGCUUUGAUUUUCAUAUUAUAUUUAGAAUAACAAAAAAGUAAAAUCAGUAAGAGACAGAAACGAAAAAAGGUCCGUUUUUUCAUAUUCUGAGACCGGAAGUGGUCAUCAGCAAGUGUGGAGCCAAACGGAGUACGGUGCAUAGAGUGUAUAUAGUUUUUUUCGUUAGUUUUCAUGGUCAAAGUGAGAGAUCAGGUGGCCGACCUUAAAAUAAAUCAAUAUCGAUUUUUUUUAAUAGAGCGUUAAAGUUUUGCGAAGCGAGGGGGCGGGGUUACUUGAUUGACAGUCUGGUCUGGAAUGAUUGACAGGUCCUAUGGAGGAGGCAGCAGAGACUCUGCUUUCCUCCUUUGGAUUAAUUCUGAUAUAAUAACUGUUGGUUUAUUUAUCGGUGGAGCAGCAGAACAUUUUCCACAGACAGUUUUCCUGCCCCUUGGCUUGUUUUAACCAGUUUUCUACCUUUGGCUGAUUCUACCAGCAGACACUGAAAGGACUCUGAUAGUUCGGUAAGUUAAUGUUUAUUUUCGUAUCGGUGCCGCUUUUACUGCAGUUUAUAUGCAGCUUCAGUGUCAGAUAUAAUGUGUGCCAUGCACUCCAGAUGUUGGUGGAGUUUAUUUCUGUGUGUGUUGACCAGAGAAGAAAGUUAGCAUAGUAAAUAUUAGCUUUAAUGUUAGCGAUGCUAACCGAGCUAGCUGCUCAGUUGUAGUCUGAUUAAAGCUAACGUAGCAUUAAGCUAACGUAGCAUUAAGCUAACGUAGCAUCAAGCUAACGAUAUGUAUGUGUUGAGUUUCAUGUAAACAGCUGAAGUGUGUUGUGUUAGUGUAAUGUGGUACAUUUAGUUAAUAAAACUGUUCAUGGAGACGCUGGUUUCAACGUUUAGAAAACCUAAAUGUGAUUAAAACAGUGAGGUUAAGGUUCUGUGUUGUCAGUAGUCCUGAAUAUCUGCUGAGCAAUGAAAUGUUCAUCAGUGAUUAAUCUUCAGUGUGAAACUUUUACUUUGCUCCUAUAUUUUUUUAAAAUGUAGGUCAUUUUAAGGUAAGACAUUGAAGGAUGGUUUUCUUAGGUUAAUGAAUUUAAGGUUUAAUACACUGAAAUCUGUCAAUGUUGUGUUUCUUUCAAUUUGAAAUAUCUCGAUUUAAUUAAUACAGCUCAGUCAGUUACAUUUUAUAUUAUUAAGAAUUCUUAUUCAGUUUAACACUAGAUGAUGUAUCAGUUCGUUGAGUAUAUCAGAGCCAGUUUUUUUCUUUUCAGACUCCGACAGCUGGUCGGUAAUAAAUGAUCAUUUACUGAUCGGUGCCGGUUGUAAUGAACUUUAUGUUCAACUUCAGAGUCAGAUAUAAUGUGAGCAGUGAACCCCAGGAGUUGGUGGAGUUUAUUUUUGUGUGUUGACGAGAGAAGAGAGUUAGCAUCCAGUGAAUAUUAGCUUUAAUGUGAAUUAGCGAUGCUAACCGAGCUAGCUGACCAGUCCUGAUUAGCAGCUAAAUGUAGCAUCAAGCUAACAAUGUUUGUGUGUUUCCUAUCAACAGCUGAAAUGUGUUGUGUUCCUGUAAUGUGGUUCAUUAAGUUCAUAAAACUGUGGCUGGUUGACGUUAAUGUAACGUUCAGGAAACUUAAAUGUGAUUAAAACGGUAACGUUAAUGUUCUAGUUGUCAGUAAUCAGCUUUAAUUUGACACUAAAACAGACUGUGAUAGUUUUAAAUGACAUCAGUUUCAUGAAUUUGUUGAAAAUUGUCUCAUUUGUUGUUGUGAUGUUGCUGCUGAUUCAUUAAAACCAGAUGAUCUGUGUUGAAGAUACGUUUAAUUCUAGUAUCAGAAGUACAAGAAGGAAAAUGGAAGUUUAGUUCUGCUACGUCAAAGAUUUCAAGAAUAAAAUAACUAAAUGCGUCUUUAUGCUUCAAACCUUAUUUUACAAUAAUGAAAUAAUCACAGAUAAUAAAAAUAUAAAUAGCAAAGAAAACCUGAGAGAAUAAUUUCCUGAAAAGUCUGUGAAGGAAAAGCAGCUUUUUAUCCUGAAAGAUCAGAAUCAGCUCCAACAUCUGCAUCUGACAGCAUCAAAUCAACCAGAAAGAAAAUGACUUCUUUCUGAUCACAUCUGUUCCGCUGCUCACAGGCUGCUGCUGCUCACAUUCUUCACAUUUAUUGUCCACUUUUAAAAGUUCAGCAGACAGGUGCUCUGCUUUUUGAAGUGUGACGAUGUCAUCGGUGAUGUGGAGAGUGAAGUUUCCGUUUUACCCACAGCAUGCUUGAGGGCAGACGGGUCAGACUUGAUGUUUAACAUACUGACUGACAGCUCAGAUUUACCUGUCUGUAGUUCUGUUUUGAUGGGUAUUAAACUUUCUUUCAAAGCCGACAGGAGCUGGAUCUUUAAAAUAACCGCCGUCUCGUUACAGAGUGAAAGUAGCAGUUCCUCCUUAAGGUCAGAGAUUGCAGCAACUGCGGGCCUCUUCAAAAGAAGACAUAGUGAUGAUGAAGGCGUUCUGGAGCAGGACCAGAAA